UACGUAGGGGGCAAGCGUUGUCCGGAAUUAUUGGGCGUAAAGCGCGCGCAGGCGGUUUCUUAAGUCUGAUGUGAAAGCCCACGGCUCAACCGUGGAGGGUCAUUGGAAACUGGGUAACUUGAGUGCAGAAGAGGAAAGUGGAAUUCCAAGUGUAGCGGUGAAAUGCGUAGAGAUUUGGAGGAACACCAGUGGCGAAGGCGACUUUCUGGUCUGUAACUGACACUGAGGCGCGAAAGCGUGGGGAGCGAACAGG
This 253-nucleotide ribosomal RNA is filed under the name uncultured bacterium. RNAcentral's name for it is "partial 16S ribosomal RNA". It matches the Rfam family "Bacterial small subunit ribosomal RNA", at positions 524 to 776 of the family's 1533-position model. The record is from RNAcentral.